AGUGAACGCUGGCGGUAGGCCUAACACAUGCAAGUCGAACGGCAGCACAGUAAGAGCUUGCUCUUACGGGUGGCGAGUGGCGGACGGGUGAGGAAUACAUCGGAAUCUACUUUUUCGUGGGGGAUAACGUAGGGGAACUUACGCUAAUACCGCAUACGACCUACGGGUGAAAGCAGGGGAUCUUCGGACCUUGCGCGAUUGAAUGAGCCGAUGUCGGAUUAGCUAGUUGGCGGGGUAAAGGCCCACCAAGGCGACGAUCCGUAGCUGGUCUGAGAGGAUGAUCAGCCACACUGGAACUGAGACACGGUCCAGACUCCUACGGGAGGCAGCAGUGGGGAAUAUUGGACAAUGGGCGAAAGCCUGAUCCAGCCAUACCGCGUGGGUGAAGAAGGCCUUCGGGUUGUAAAGCCCUUUUGUUGGGAAAGAAAAGCAGCAGGUUAAUACCCCGCUGUUCUGACGGUACCCAAAGAAUAAGCACCGGCUAACUUCGUG
This 492-nucleotide ribosomal RNA is filed under the name uncultured bacterium. RNAcentral's name for it is "partial 16S ribosomal RNA". It matches the Rfam family "Bacterial small subunit ribosomal RNA", at positions 29 to 507 of the family's 1533-position model. The record is from RNAcentral.